UUUAAAGAGAGUUUGAUCCUGGCUCAGGACGAACGCUGGCGGCGUGCCUAAUACAUGCAAGUCGAACGAACGGA
RNAcentral lists this ribosomal RNA (74 nucleotides) under Listeria monocytogenes. RNAcentral's name for it is "partial 16S ribosomal RNA". It matches the Rfam family "Bacterial small subunit ribosomal RNA", at positions 1 to 74 of the family's 1533-position model. Lineage: Bacteria; Bacillati; Bacillota; Bacilli; Caryophanales; Listeriaceae. RNAcentral also lists the same sequence under 1 other name. The record is from RNAcentral.